CUGAUGCAUACCUCCUGAGGACUGAAAUUAUACAAGGCUGAUACACAAUGUGAAUAAAAGAUCAACCAAGUUAUCAAACGUUAAAGAUAUAUUUAAUAAAAAAAUGUGCCAAGGACAGAACAUGGGCAAUAUAUAGUUUAGUAGAUAAAAGACAUACAAUUAAACAUUUUUUUUUUUUUAACGUUAAGCACAUACUAUUGUAAUGGAAACAGAUGUAUACAUUUAAAAGUUUAGACUGAGAAUGACUGACAGACUGCACCACCCCAGGUAAACUCUGGGUACCAACAAAACUAAUUACAUUUGGUUUUAGCCUCAUAUUCAUUUACACAUUUAAAUCAAUUUAAUUUGGCAAAAAUAAAAUAAAGUUUUACUGCUUUCUACAGCAUAACCCUGCCCACUUAGCCAUGCCUCCUCUUUUCACAAAACAUCUUCCUGAAUGGAAGGUACGCAGUGUAGCUCAGCCAAUGAGAGGAGAUCAGUGUGAGUUGAGUUGUUCAAUUGCUUCUGCCCCACAGCAAAUCAUGCUAAGAGGAAGGGGUUGAAAAUAAAAAAGACAGUGAUUGGCUGUGGGGUAAAGUCAUGUCAGCAACUCGUGUCACACUGAAAUCUCAUUGGCUGAGCUGAACAACUACUCAGAGUACUUGUAUUAAGGAAGUUACUUUGUAAAAAUUUAAAGCAUGCCUAAGGGUUGGGGUUUUGCUGCAGAGCAUUUUGUUUUGAAUGUGCAGAAAAGAAUGCAUUAAAGAAUGAAGGCCAAAACCAAUCAAAUGCACUUACGUUGUACUGGUGCCUGUAAUGUCCUUUUAAUAAAGAAAUAGGGUUCCUCCUAAGUAAGCAAAUUAUAAAUACAAAAAUAAGACUACAGUGGCAGAAAACCACUGCUAUCAGGCUGCUGAUAUACAAGUAGGAGAUGGAUUUAACCUCUAACCUUGAUCUAAUAACAUUAGAGUAGUAAUUGAUUGUAUGUUAUUAUCAAGAUAGGGGAGAUACUUGUAAACUGCAAUUAAAAUAAAUUCUGUGGAUUUCCAAUUCCACAAAAAAAGAUUAAUACAAUGACUAUAUCAAUAUAUGUCAUGCAUGGACUGUACCACUGUGUAACUGAAAAUCAAACAAAAAUAACAUGUACCAUUCUAUUAAACAAAUAUAAACAGAAUAAAAAGCAGUAACAAAAUAUGUUGCAAAUAAUAAUAACUCAUGUCUCCUUAAAAAAAAUAUCUUGGAAUGUACCAUAUAUACUACUAUAAGGGGUCCUUUAUAUUAGACUUAACCCAACACAUGCAUAGAUAUUCAUUAAGCCGUGAUUUCUCAGGAAUUGACCAGGGAAAUUAGACAUUUAGGAGAAAAUAGCCAAGCUGAAAACACUUCAAAACAGAGACCAAAAUAGCCUAAAUGGAAAAAUUAUCCAUGUCCACAAUUCACUCAUACUGGCCAUUCCUGGUUUAACAAAUACCACUUACAGAUUUGUUCACUAAAUGGAAUUGUGGAUAAUUGUGUAUCUAGGGUAGUUAUCACCCAAGAGGCUGAAUAUUCUGUUUGUUAACACCCCCCCCCCACACACAUACAUUUUUUGUGUGUGUUGCUAUACCCCCAUUUGUGUGUCUCUGCACCCCCAACCCCUUGAGUGUCUCGGAACCCUCCCUUAUCUUUGUGUGUUUCUUAACUCUCCCGUAUUCCUUGUGUAUCUCUUACUCCCCUACCAAUAUGGUAUAAUGGCUGACAAGGAACAUGGCAGAGGAUAAAGCUCUCUGCAUGUUACUCUGUUUAGGGCGGUUGCAAGUAUUUUUGGGUACACAGGCAUAAAUGCAUUUUGUCGCAUUCCCUCUCCCUCCCCCCCCCAAAAAUGCAUCUCCACCUGCGUCUUAACCCCUCUUGAAUGUCUUACUCCCUUUUUUGUUUCCUCUCAUUUCUUUUGAAUGUCUUUAGUGUAUCUUAUCUACUUUUGUCUGUUACACGCCCCUUUAGUAUAGCUAAUCUCCAUUACACAUUUGUGUGUCUCUUACAACCCCCUUGUGUGUCUCUUACUCCCCUUUUUUGUGUCUCUUACUCCUCCCCGGCCCCUUUGUGUAUGUCUUUUUUUCCCUUAUCCCCUUUAUCUCUUUCACCCCUUCUUGAGUCCCUCUGUGUGUCUUUUUUCCCCUUCACCUUGUCUCUUUUCCCUCAACCCCUCUUUGCAUUUCUUCCCCUCCAGCCUCUAUGUGUGUCUCUUCAAACAAGUCCCUCUUUGUCUCUUUCCCUCCAGACCCUCUUUGUGUCUUUUCCCCUCUAGACCCUCUGCCUGUCUCUUUCCCCCUCCAUAUUUUUCUUCCCCACUCCAGCCCCUCUGUCUGUCUCUUUCCC
Molecule: long non-coding RNA, 2337 nt
Filed under: Pelobates cultripes (western spadefoot toad)
Lineage: Eukaryota; Metazoa; Chordata; Amphibia; Anura; Pelobatidae
Source: RNAcentral